AAAAAUCCAAAUCUAGCGAGAAACAUAACAAAUCCAGCCAACCUAUUUUGCAUCCCUGUCAUGGUUGUAUGUCCAGAUCCAUAAGAGAUCUGGUUUUUGUUGAAGUUCUGGUCAUGUGCCUUGCUACUUUGUAAAUUUGGUCGAAUCUCUGAAGUUUGACACCCAAGAAAAACACUUAAUAUAAUCCGAAGACUCGUCUAGUACAGUUUCAGUUUGCCGGAAUUCAAGACCUCGCCGGAGAACAUCAUACAUCAUUGAUAUAACACGAAAUGUAAGCUCUAAUCUAUGUCUUUCUCUUCGUCCUGGUUGUUCGUCAGUUGUAGAAAGGGCAUAGCUGGAAAACGGGUUGGAUCCGCAAUUUAGUUUUGGGAUUACUUCGAGAAGAUAUGCAAGUUUGUGUUUAUUCAUUAAUUUAAUUGUUAAGUGUAGCAUAAUUGUUAUUUCAUGAAACUUUGCAAUUUCAAGAGAAUGACACUGCUUGGACGCGCUUUUAGUGUUACCUGAGGCAUGUGACUUUCAUUUCUAUAGCUAUUGACACAGGUCACAACUUAUGCUGGUAUUGCAUGGCUUUUUUUUUUAAUCAAUGACAGCCUGUAAUUGUCAGGAAAUCGUUUUAGUGUGAUUCACGUGUAUGACCCGUUGGCCGUUACCAUCCCGUCCAUCAGUAUGUCAUAUAAGAUUACCAAAAAUGUUUAUCUUUUCAUUUAUAAAC
This 712-nucleotide long non-coding RNA is filed under the name Helianthus annuus (common sunflower). The record is from RNAcentral. Lineage: Eukaryota; Viridiplantae; Streptophyta; Magnoliopsida; Asterales; Asteraceae.